Molecule: non-coding RNA, 148 nt
Organism: Knufia fluminis
Lineage: Eukaryota; Fungi; Ascomycota; Eurotiomycetes; Chaetothyriales; Trichomeriaceae
Source: the annotation of a GenBank genome assembly
GGUUUGAUGGUGUAGUUGGUUAUCACGUAAGCUCAAUUUCAUCCAUCUUGACAUGAAAAUGUCUAACAAACCUCAGGUCUGCUUAACACAAGCUCAUCGAGCAUCUGUCAUACGCAGAAGGUCUCCGGUUCAAGUCCGGGUCGAAUCA